GUGGGGAAUUUUGGACAAUGGGCGCAAGCCUGAUCCAGCAAUGCCGCGUGCAGGAAGAAGGCCUUCGGGUUGUAAAGCUCUUUCGGCAGGAACGAAACGGUGAGCUCUAACAUAGCUCGCUAAUGACGGUACCUGAAGAAGAAGCACCGGCUAACUACGUGCCAGCAGCCGCGGUAAUACGUAGGGUGCGAGCGUUAAUCGGAAUUACUGGGCGUAAAGCGUGCGCAGGCGGUUGUGUAAGACAGGUGUGAAAUCCCCGGGCUUAACCUGGGAACGGCGCUUGUGACUGCACGGCUAGAGUAUGGCAGAGGGGGGUGGAAUUCCACGUGUAGCAGUGAAAUGCGUAGAGAUGUGGAGGAACACCGAUGGCGAAGGCAGCCCCCUGGGCCAAUACUGACGCUCAUGCACGAAAGCGUGGGGAGCAAACAGGAUUAGAUACCCCUGUAGUCC
Molecule: ribosomal RNA, 450 nt
Filed under: uncultured bacterium
Lineage: Bacteria
Description: partial 16S ribosomal RNA
Rfam family: Bacterial small subunit ribosomal RNA
Source: RNAcentral